UGUCAUUCUAUUACUAAUGUAUAAACAAGGGGGAAAAGUUUGAGGUAAAAAAAGUCUUCAGGACUGGACUCUCUCUCUGGAUGCAUCUUGUGUUUCCCACCGGCAGCUGUGCCACUAGAGAGCCACACUCAGCUUUGGCAGUACAACUCUUCAGGAAGUGCAUUCGUAAUACACAAUAAUGAUGGAGGCGAGCAAAAGUUUGGAAUCCUAUUCUUCUGUGUAGUUACUCAGAGAUCAUCAGACAACAACAGAUAAGUGCUAAAUAUAUUAUAUUAUUAAUAAUAAUGUAUUAAUAACUUUGCUUUAGGACUUAUGCUAUUGGUGGGAAUUUUCAGAUAGAGAUGAUGGCAAUUCAGAAGUAUAUUAUUUUAGUCAUAAACAAAAAAGCUUUCUUAUUAUUUAUAAGGUGAAAUUGUUACAAGUGAUGUAAAAUGCAUGCAUCAUAGUUCUAUCUAUUGUGGUUAUAAAUAUGUGUUUGACAGCCUAUUUUCCUGAAAUUUGCCAUUUAUCAUCAAGCAAUUAAUAACCCCCCAAAAUUCCAUUUAACAGAAGUAAAAAAUUUGCAAAGAAAAAAAUUGCAUGAAAACUAUUAUUUACAAUUUGAUGCCAUUUCUCAUAACAACAGCUUGAACUAGGUGAAAAUACAUUAAUUCUACUAGUCAGCUCAAAAAUCACCUUCUAAAUUUACUUUUUAAAAGGUACUGUUUGCACAGGUAAAUGAUCUACAAUUUAUUUCUCUUUUGGGUCACUUUUACAUAUAUUAUCUGCUUGAUUGUCCUUAGGUGGUGGAUUAUUUUUAAAAGAAACAUUUAUGUAAAUUAGUAGGUCCAUAAAUGACUGCAUGGUUCCAAAUUAGUCUACACUAAAUACCAUUUUAUGGAAUAAUUUUGAUCAGAAAGUGAAUGCAUUUACAUAUAUAAUCUUACACUAAAUGCUAUUAUUUGGCAUAAAUUGAUUGGAAAGAGCAUGUAUUUACAUAUAAUCUUUAAUAAAUGAAUUGAAACCAGUUCAUUUUAACCCUUUGAACUCUCUGAGGAAGUGUACUGAAUCUUAGUAACAUGCACAUUAUGACUGAGGAUCAAUACAUUUGUCCUGAGUACCUUGAGUCCUCUAGCCUCCCCAGCCUUUGAUCCAAGAUAUAUUUUACAACAGUUCCUUAGCAUUGCCAAACCCAUGUGCUCAAAAAUCAUGAGACAGGCAUAAAAAAAAUCAUGAGUUUUGCUAAAAUUAUGAGAUUUCAAACAGGAACAGUAUUGGGGGGGACCCGAAAGACUAACCAUUUUAGCCCUAGAGGGGUUUGUAUUUAUUUUGAUUUAAAAACCAGCAGUGUAUUUUCACUCCCAUGACCAGUGCUAACCAACGCCACCCCCCCCCCAAAAUGUCACAUGUUGCCAGAAGAUUACAACCCUCAUUCAUCUCUGCCCCUUUCUCAAAGCUUCAGUGGAUAGAUAGCCCAGAGUUGCUGACCUAUUUCAAAGCAAGGGUGGGGGGAGGUAAGUCCCCAAAGGCAAGAGCCCUUCAUUUAAAACUCCCUGCCAGUAGCGCCUCACUUUAAAUCCAGGGGGACACAGCUCAAGUGCCUGUGCUGAUUCUAACUAUAGCAGUACUCUAAAGAGCAAGAAGCGGUUCCAACCCCAUUUGGGCUGUAUAAGCUUUAAAAACGAACUCUUUAAACUCCACCAAGAAACCAAUGGGCAGCUCAUGUAGCUCCUUAAGCACGGAUGUAGUGUGCUCCUGGCAAGGAAGCCUCCUUUGUAGGUCUAGUGCUGUAUCAUGUACUGGUUUCCAUUGCCAGAUAAAUUCCAGUGCACAGUAGUGUAAAGCUGAAGUGAGAAAAGUAAAAUCCUUAAAGAUAUUUCCUACAGAUGAGUGGAUUUUCUUCUUUGUGUCCUCCUGUUUUGCCUGGACAGAUGUAACUAUGCUGUUUGUCUCCGGACCAUUUCAAUUUCAGUUGUAUAAAUCUAAUCAAAACAAAAAGGAAUUCAGGGGGAGCCUGAACUUUAUUUCAGAUAUAUUUUUUUAAUUACAUAAAGCACCUGAAGGCUAAGCUUGACAAAAAGAAACUCAAAUCACAAUCAGAAGCAUAUGCAUGGAUAGUAAUGCCAGGGAAAAGAAUUGGUCCUGAUCCUGCAACUUGUAUGUGAAUGGACUGCUGAAUUGCAUGGAGGCCCAGUGACUUUGCUGAUUAUGUGCGGGCUCAGCAGUCUGUCUGUAUGCAGAAAUUUGCAGGAUUGAGGUAACUGUGUGUUAUAUUUUGCUACACUGUUUAGCACUGGAAAUAGAGAGAAUAAAGGGAAAUACGUUUCUAGUCCAAAUGAUUAUUCUUGUUUGUUCUUUGAAACUGUGGCUGCUUGAUUGUAGUUUGUAGGGAGAAUUUCCUGACCAUUAAAGACACAAUAUGAGCCUGACCAGGUCCCCCAGUAUACCUUCCCUUGGAUAUUGCCACGUCUUUCUCUCUCUCUCUCUCUCUGCUGAGAGGGGAUAUGCUUUGUUGCUCUCUCUCUCUUUGCUGCUGUUGGGAAUGGGAUUUUGGUUUUUUGUGGCAGUUGUAGGGUUAGUUUCAGGAUUUCUUUUGCUUUAGCAGGCUUUUGUCUGCCCUCUGGGCUGACAUGGCCAGGCCAAGGCAACAGAGACUUUAGUUUUUUUUGUGGAUACUGUAGAUUUAACCUGUUGUUGUAAUGGUUUGUGGAUUUUGCCUCCAGACUUUGCCCCUGUGGAGGAAUGAGUUCUAGUGUGGGGAAGGUGAUUCGGUUUAAAAAUGUGAGAUCUGCCUCCUGCAUGAGCAAGACUGUUAUUGCAUUUGUUGCCAUGCUUAACCUUCUUUGAGCAGGUGGUUGUGAAGGGGAUUGUUAUGCACGGUGGCUUUGUCCCUGUAGUGCCCCUCUGAUCACAUGCUGUUAAAGUCACUAUCUUUAAUGUCCACCCCUUUUUUAGGAAAUGAGCCACUGGUUAGUGACCUGGCAAGUUAUGGUAAAAUCACUAGCCCUAUUAGGAGAAUUCCGUUGGCCUGUAAAUUCCCAGAGGUUUGUCGUGUCUUAUCCUUUCAUAGGCAGGUUUGUAUGAUACUAAAAAAUGCGUCCAAAAUUUUAAAAGUUGCCCUGAAAUACAGGAUUGGGGAGUGUGACUACACUGUGUUUGUUUCCGCUGAGGACCUGGCUUGUCUGUGUUGUGGGAGUCUGACAUGUCUAGUCUAGCAGUGCCCUCAGAAGAGGCUGGGAAUGGUGACCCUGCAUCUGGGAAUGUUGGGGGUUCUGAGAGUAAAGUACAGAGAGGGGUGACUGUGGCAGAGACUGGGUCCCAACUGGUUCCAGAUGUCUCUGGGGAUGCUGGUUUUGGAGGAUUAGUGCCCUCUUUACUACCUGGGGGAGAUGGCAUUACUGGUUCUGUGGAUCCUGAUUCUGCCAUCCCUCGGCUUGAGCCUGCUUACAGAAUGGAGGCUGAGCCUGUUGCUGUAGAAUCCGUGACCUUGGCUGAGGAUUCUGGCUUGCUGGCAAAGCCCCAGAGACAAAAGCGGUCAUUGAAUUCAAAGGGGACUCCAAUUACUGAGGAAGCUGUGAAGUGGCUUAGUUUGGUUAGAGCAAUCGGGAAGCACUCUGUUGAGGGUGUUGCUGAGGGCGGGUCUCUAGCUGAGGUCAUGGAGAAUUCCCCCUGGGAAUUCUUGCUAGUAGUUUUGCCCCCUUGGUUCCAGCAGCCCCCUCCCUCUGGUCUCUCUGAGGUUCUCUCUCCCCUACCCGCUCCUUUUAGGUUGGUAGUGACUCUGAGUCUGAGAGCAUGGGAGGAUGAUCAAUUCACAUAUUUCUUUGGUCUUGAACUCCCUGGGGGUUUUAUGACUUCAUUUGAAGUUUAGAUAUGAUAUGCUUUUUAUAUCAAUGUAUUCAAUGGUAGGCUAUUGGAAAUGAGCUUUGAACUGUUUGGGAUGGGAAACUGUUUUAGAAUUUGUAAUUUAGUUUCUUGUUUUUACUGUGUUUCUAUACAGAUUUCAUUAAAAUGUUUUAAAAGUCUCUCUUUCUCAGGUUUUAUACUGCUGCCUGUACCAUGGUGACUAAACACGUUCCAUGUAGCUUCAAUAGCAAUAGCACAGUCACUAGUGGACUUUGUGAAAUCUCUGGCACAUCUCCAUUUUUGGAAGGUGAGCCAGAGAGAAAGUGUAUUGGGGAGGCAUUGAUCUAUUCUCGAUCAAUCUUUGCAAUAAAGCCAUGCAUUUUUUCAAACUAGCAGGGGUUUGAACUGUGUGACCUGGCUGGAGGGUUGAGCCACAGAAGACCCACAGAGCUGGGAUGACAGCCUGCAGGAGGUGCUAGGAACUGAAAAGAGAAGCAGCACCACACCUGGAUUCCGGGGGUGCUCAAAGAGAAUUGAAUUCUCCAUUCAUGGACCAGUCACCAAGAAAACGGUGUGCUGCUCAAAAGUCUCACUCUAAAGCUGCUAGUUUCAUUGUACUGGACUGUAGCUCUCAUGGGAAGUCAUGAUCACACAGGGUGAGGCAGUCUCUCGGGUAACUUGAACCAAGCCUAAUGGAGGCUUCUGAACAUGAGGGAGGAUCAAAACCUUGAAUUUGACCCAAUAUUCCAUGGGAAGCCAGUGAAGAGAGCAGGACAUUGGUGUGGUGGGCCUCUCAAUGGCUAGAGUUGCUUCAGUAUUUUGAAGCAAUUCAUAGUGCCAUCCCACCGGGAUAUGGAGCUGGUUGUCGUUUGCUCAUUGGUGACAUUUUAAGUCAGUGCUGCCUUGCCAACUCCCAUAGCAGUUUCAGAUACAUGUCAAACAAGAUGGAGGAGAGGAUAGUUCCUUGUGGAAUCCCAUAGGUAAGCAUAUCCCACACAGCCAGUGGAUUGAACAACACAGCAUAUCCUGUCUAGUAGACGACUGGGCCAGGAUGCUAUCUAGCACUGACUGAGCACUAAAGCAGAAAGCCUGCAGGCAGGUAAUGGUAACAGUGCCUGUCCUCCUUUAGGGUGAGUUUGUCUAUAGGGCUCAGAGAUUCUUAACUGCCACAGGGAAAGGGAGUUCAUACCUCCUGUGCCUACGUGAUGGCUGCCAGGUUAGCUUUGGAGGUAAAAGCAUCUGUCUCCACAGCUUUAGGUAAAAUCCAGUUUGUGUAGCUGGUGACUGUAACAGAUUCACAUUCUCUGUGGAUGAGAGUGGGACAUGAAACACACAUUGACCAGAGGUUAUACCAGUUUCACUCAAUAUGAUCUAAUGGGAGUUUUAUCUGCAGGACUGCUACCCCUGUAUUCAUCUCUAUCAGUUUCUUAGCAUUUUUGAAGCUGUAUCUGUUA
Molecule: long non-coding RNA, 5276 nt
Organism: Caretta caretta (loggerhead turtle)
Lineage: Eukaryota; Metazoa; Chordata; Testudines; Cheloniidae
Source: RefSeq, a predicted model, not a curated record